This 299-nucleotide signal recognition particle RNA is filed under the name Saimiri boliviensis boliviensis (Bolivian squirrel monkey). Its description in RNAcentral is "Metazoan signal recognition particle RNA (ENSSBOG00000007768.1)". It matches the Rfam family "Metazoan signal recognition particle RNA". From Rfam's summary of the family: The signal recognition particle (SRP) is a universally conserved ribonucleoprotein. It is involved in the co-translational targeting of proteins to membranes. The record is from RNAcentral. Lineage: Eukaryota; Metazoa; Chordata; Mammalia; Primates; Cebidae.
GCUGGGUGCGGUGGCGCAUUCCUGUAGUCCCAGCUAUUCGGGAGGCUGAGGUGGGAGGAUCGCUUGAGCCCAGGAGUUCUGGGCUGUAAUGCGCUAUGCUGAGUGGGUAUCCACACUAAGUUCGGCAUCAAUAUGGUGACCUCCCGUGAGUGGGGGACCACCAGGUUGCCUAAGGAGGGGUGAACCGGCCCAGGUCGAAAACAGAGCAGGUCAAAACUCCCUUGCUGAUCUGCAGUGGGAUCACACCUGUGAAUAGCCACUGCACUCCAGCCUGGGCAGCAUAGCAAGACUCUCUCUUU